UUCUGUGGUGCAUCGUCUUGUUUAUUUAUUUAUUUAUUUUCAAACUAGCGCGGUUUCGCUUUUGUAAAAAAAUAGCAGUUUUGUAGCUUUCGUGGUGCUUUUGGCUCAUUGACCUGAUUUUAGCUGCACAGAAAUGUAAAGUUUGUGAGGUUUUCGCUUCUUUGUUUGUUCGUUUAGUGUUCAGACAUUUCUGUUCUCAGUCGGUUUGAUUCGAGUUUAUGUCUGAGUUCCUUUAAACACCAGUGUUUCUGUUGCCUUGCACAUCAAGUUCCACAUUUAUCACUUUGCUUCCAAAAUCAAAAUUUCAAGCUUAUACCACUUCCUUUCUAAAUUUACCGGCAUGUAUCGGUUUAAGAUUAUCACUGGAAACAACUACAGUAUAUAACAGCAUAUUCAUAGUAAAUGGCAAAUUACUGUUAAAACUUUAUCAUUUUGUAAAUUUAAACUGAAAAGAAAGGUCUUCCAAGACACUGAAGUUCACAAAAACAGAAGCAGUUAAAGAAUAAAUGGGAAUAUUUUCAGAUUUAUUACAGUAAAAACCGGUUGUUAUUAUUAUUAUUAUUAUUAUUAUUAUUAUUAUUAUUAUUAUUAUUAUUAUUAGAAGUUGUUCUUCUCAGGAACUCAAAAGAGGAAAAAAACAAAACCUCCGUUGAUGAAUCCAUCGACGGCUCAUUAAGCUUUAUUUUAACAAGUCAUUCUGUCUGUAAUUUAGCCAUAAAGUUUAUUUUUGUUAAUUUCAAGUGGAUUAUUUCACCUGAUUUUGAUCCAAAUUCACUCUUAUUACGGGAAUUUACUGAAACAAAUGAAAAUAAAUUCCUGAAAAACUGCAGUCAGACGCAAUAUUUAGAAUUUAAGACAACAUUCGGUGAUCAAAACUAGCAAAAGUUCUUACAAAGAAAAGUAUUUCUUAACUUAAUUCCAUGGGUUUUGUGACUUUUUUUUGUGUUUUGUAUGAACAUAAUGUUGUUUAUUGGUGAAGGUUUGUGGCCAAACGUUAUUCCAACAUAGAGCUGCAACUAAUGAUUAUUUUUAUAAUUAAUCGAUUAGUUGAUGGUGAAAAAUGUUGAUCAAUUCCUUGAUUUGUCCAAAGAUAUUCAGUUUAUUGUCACUAAGAAGGAAAGAAACUGGAAAAUACUCACAUUUAAGAAACUGCAAUCAUAGAAUUUUGACUUUUUUUUUAAAGUAAAAACCUUCUCCAACCGAUUAAUUAGUCAUUAAACUCAUGUUCAACUAAUCGAUUAAUCGUUGCAGCUCUAUUGCAGUGAUAUUUUAUUUCCCAAACUUUCUUCAGUGACGUCUUUUUCUGAAACCACUCCAACACAAACAGAUGGUAAACUGACUAAAUUCCAAUAUAUGUUCGAUGCAAAGAAGCUUUUUACUGGAAAACAAGGUUUUAGCUGCUUUUCACCAGUUUUAAGAAAGAAAAAUGGAAUUUGUUUGACUUUUUGGCUUUUUAAGAGUUUGGUUUGUUGGUAAAUUCACUAAAAAUCAACCUAAGAUUCACUUCUCAACUAUGUUUGUAGUUAAUCCAAAUUAUUCUGUAGAUCUAAAGAAAAAUAAGGAUGAAGUCUGAUUGUUAGUUGAGUAUCUUUGGUUCGGCGCUGGCAGUUUAUUGAUGGUUGUUCUCCUGAUGUUGCUGCCAGUAGCUUUAAAAACCCAACUUCAGACAGAACUUUUAAAAAGAACUCGAGGAAAUCAAGCAAAAAGUUUUAUGUUGCAUCCGGACAGCAAAAAUUUGAUUACAAUACUGUGAAAAUAUUAUGUAGCUUUAAGUUUAGAAUAUUUGGAACCAUUUUUCAGAGAUUUUAAAAUCUACAACCAGCUGAAAAACUUCAAAGCUUAAGAGAUUUUCAGUUCAGUUGAAGACUAUUCUGUGUUCUGAUGAAUAAAUCAAAACUUUAAAAAGCCGUUUAGUUGAUCCAAUUCCAACUUCGCAUGAUUUUUGAGCAACUCAGCCUCAACUUUUAGUCUUAUAUUUUAUUAUUUAGCGCCUUGAGGCUUGUUGAAGAGGUUUUAAUCAGCUCACUGGAGGAUUUAAUCAUUUACUUUCCCGAUAUUUUUGUCUUUGUCGUCUGAUUUUGCGGAAUCAGUUCCUUAUUAUGGACAUUUCCCAUGAAGGGUUGCAAAUCAAAACUCACCAUUAGUCCCACUGACCAGGUUAAAGAAUGGAAAAAGCUCAUGCGAUGAUGUUUUCUGAGCCAGUUUCAGUGAUUUUAAUGGACAUUUACAUUCAAUUUGAGUCAUUUCUUUCACAAAAUUUGAAAACUGUACCUGUACAGGUGUUUGUUUGUUUUUUUGGUCUUUUGUAGCACAAAAAUGGGUCUUAUUUGUUGGAAUUAACCCUUUAUCUGUUUAUUUGACAAUCAGUUUUUCUUUUCACGUUGUCUUUGGUGCAAUUUCCCAAAACAAAGUGACUGCUGUGUCCACAAACAGGUGAAAUAAUGGGUUUGAAUACUAUUUUGAAUGCUAUUAUGCCAUUUAGUAUUUCAGUGGGGUUGUUUGUUGGUCAUUUUUUAAUUGCGGUGUUACAUUCUCCAAUGAUUUGGUCGUUUUUCUGGUCUUGCACCAACCCAGUUCCUCAAUAUUUGCACUCAGUAAUUUGGCUUCAGCCCCCAAAAGUCUUUAAAUCUCCAGUUUUUCUGCAGUUUCUUUAAAAAAAAAAAAAAAAAAACAACUACAAACUGUGUUGCAUUCAGAGUUUUGACAGUUUUGUUGGACUCACCUCUAGAAUCAGUAUUUGUGACGCUUUAUAGGGACAAAAUUGGUUUAACUUGUGUAGCAGUCACUCACACAUUGUAAUCUUGCAGGAAUAUGAAGAAAUAUACGACCACAUGUCAGCUUCUAAACACUUCACGGCUUGAAUCCGAAUCUUUCUCGUCUCUUGAAGCCAUAAUCUGAAGCAUGUAUGUAUCUGAAACACCCACAGCUGUUCGUUUGUCAUUGAGUUUCUCUUCUUUGUGAUCGAUUCUGAAUGAAAAGGAGCACUUUAUGGCGUCCAUGUAGUCCAGAGGGCAGUAGUGCUUGCUGUGAUUUGUUCCGUUGGUUGUUCUCACUGUAACUGCAGACCAAGCAAUGCACUGACUGGCACAUUCUACAUAACCUGUAAUUUUACGGACAUUUUGAUUGCUACGAAUUAUUUGUGCCUUGGCCUUUUACAGUACCCUUAUUUUCAAUGUUUACUCUUUCAGUUUCGGUCACGCUUUUCUCGCUACGGCUGCCGAAAUGCUGCACGAAGCUGUCGGUGAUAUCUGUGUGGACGGCUGCCUUUAAUCUGCCAAACAGCUUCCAUCCUGAAGCAGGAAGCAGCGGCUGUCGGGAGGUAAAGUCUCUGUCUGCAGGACUUAAAAAGCACCAACAAAGCAAAAGGAGGCCCGCCGAAAUCUGCAAGCUCCGAAGAUUCUCCCUCUUUGCCUGAUGAGAAGUUUGCAUUAUUAAAACUCUUGCAGAUUUCAGUGCAUAUAAGCUUUUCCACUCUGAAUUCUCAUCUGGGUAAGCACAAUAUUUCCACAAGUGUUUGCACGUAGCCGAAAUUUAAAGUGAAAGAAAGAAAAACAAAGUAUCGACUGAAAGCACAAAACCUCACGAUUUAAAGACACAUACGACUUUUCUGUCUUCAUAGAAGCGCUCACUAUGUGCUGCAAAACACAAAAUGCUUCCAAGCUUUUAGUAUUUUUAGAAAAAGGGGGUGAAAGUUAAAGGGUUUACACAAGUUUUGCAGUUAAACUCCUACUCAUAGUGCCGUCAGCCCUCAAUCCAAAAUUCACAUUUUCAAGGACAGAUUGUGUUUAGAUUUAAUCAUCAAUUCUCAUUUAGAGCUCAUCUUUUUACAUAGAUACUUUACAUUUUGUAGCAUGACAAGCUUGGCAGGUCAUCAAAGUGAAGAUGACUAACAGGCCAUAUUUAGAAAAACCCACAACGUCCUUUACUCUCGUUCUGUGCCACAUAUGAAGUUCUGUCUCCACCGUUGGUUUUUAAUUGUUAGAAAAAAACCCCACUUGAUUUAGAUUAAAAACAGCCGCUGCUGCCAGAGUUUAGCACCACAACGUGUCGGGUUUGUCAGUAAAGAAGUUUAUGAUGUUCUACUUCAAUGGUGGAGGUAAAAACAGCAAAUAGUGACGAAUCAGUCCCUUCUAAUGUUGGUGUAAGUUUGUGCAUUUCUAGAGCUUUCCAUUUGACUCCCCUCAGUUUGUCAAGUUUUCAUCACAUACAAAAUAAAACCAAACAAAAAAACUGCAGCACAGUUUAGACAUAAUCAGAAAAUGUGGAGUAAAAUUCUGAAAACAGGCCAUUUUCCACUCCAGGAACUCAUAGGAACCUUUGUCCAUGUUUCAACUGCAAGAAUCACCCUGUAGAACCUCUUUUGUGGACCUGAAAAACCUGUUGAUGCCAAUCAGUUAAACUCUAAGAACAGAAAUGCUAGGACAAUGUUUUUGCCCUCCAGAUGUUCUCCUCUCCAGCUAAAAUUCACCAUUCAUGCACUAUGUUCUCUUUCCUACAUGCUAGAACUGGAGUUUCACCCAGUAAACACUAUUUCCUGUUGUUUUGGUGAACUCUGAGUUAAUGUUCUUGGAUCUGACAAACUGAAAGGAUCGACCACGGGGUUGUUUUACAUUCAUACCAUCUUCCACCUGCCCAAGUUCUGUCUGGAUGUACAGUAUUAUUACUUUAUCUAACCCCGUUCAUGUGUGCAGGUUUGUCCAUCCAAGAAAGAUGCUACUGAGCAUGCUCAGUGUGGCCAAAAAUACAGAAAAUCUGGGAAACUUUUUCAAUCUACUGAGCACCUUUCAUCUCCCACAAUCUAAAGACGCCUUAGCUACCAUUUGGGAUUUUGAAUCACAACUUUUUACUUCUUUAACAGAAUCUAAAAGUUUCAGUUCGGUUUUCUCCUUACUGCCAGAAUCUACUUGAAAAGUGCCAAAGACCUGUCAGCCCUGUCCUGAUGCUGUGAUAGAAACUAAACCUGUAGACUGAAGGAGGGGAAAUAUUCACAAAACAAAACAAAAGACAACUAAAACCGAGUGUCUCUCCACAGAUAUCAUGUCCAGCUUCGUGCUCGUUGUCUGGCAGCAGCUUUUUUGGGUCAGAAACAGUUUUGUUGUUCUUAAGUUUCAUUUAAGGGAAAUUUGGACAACUUUACACUCGUGGCCUUCAGAGCUGUGCGUCAUUUUUCUCAUUCCAGUUUGAAAAAAUAAAACAAACUCGCCAUUUCUAUUCUGUAUUAGACCACUUUGAACAUUUGGUUUCGAUGAUAUAAUAUGCAAAUGUAUUCUUACUUGAUUUUUUUAUUUUUUGUCUUUUCAAUUGCACCAGUUAUUAAUAAAGUAUUGAACUGAA
Long non-coding RNA from Amphiprion ocellaris (clown anemonefish), 5334 nucleotides. Lineage: Eukaryota; Metazoa; Chordata; Actinopteri; Pomacentridae. The record is from Ensembl.